This 730-nucleotide ribosomal RNA is filed under the name Cryphalus massonianus. RNAcentral's name for it is "eukaryotic LSU rRNA". It matches the Rfam family "Eukaryotic large subunit ribosomal RNA", at positions 401 to 842 of the family's 3401-position model. Lineage: Eukaryota; Metazoa; Arthropoda; Insecta; Coleoptera; Curculionidae. The record is from RNAcentral.
GAAACCGUUUAGGGGUAAACCUGAGAAACCCGAAAGGUCGAAGGGAGAAAUUCAUUCGUGUCCGAUAUGGUUAUUGUACGGUAUAUUGGUGUUCGAAAGGUGAAAAGAAAUUUUCACUUUUUGCCCUGCCGUAUCAAUAUGUGUACCAUGUUGGACGCGUGCACUUUUCUUCCGGUAGGACGUUGCGAUCCGUUGGGUGUUGAUCUACGGUAUGUGGUAGGGCAGACCUUGAAGCGGUUAAUUUGAAAAAAUUGAUUCUUUAAGGACCUCUGAUACCUGAUCAACUGGCCCGACGGUAUAAUUAGAACGGUUUUCGGUCGCUCGAUCAAUUAUUGGUUGAAGCGUUCGGCUUGUAGCAAGCACGUUAAAUGUUUUAGAUAACGGACCUAGUGCCGUGUCUGAUCAUUGACGUCUGUUGGUUGCAAAUGUCUCGAACAGGCUGACCUGCAAAAAACUGAUCUGCAACGAUAUAGCUUUGGGUAAUUUCAGGACCCGUCUUGAAACACGGACCAAGGAGUCUAGCAUGUACGCAAGUCAUUGGGAAUUACAAAACCUAAAGGCACAAUGAAAGUAAACGUUUAUCUUUAACGGUAAACGAUGGGAAGAUGAGCGUUAAUAAUGUUAAAGUUAUUGCGUUCCGCAUUCCCGGGGCGUCUCGUUCUCAUUGCGAGAAGAGGUGCACCAUGAGCGUACACGCUGGGACCCGAAAGAUGGUGAACUAUGCCUGGUC